Molecule: ribosomal RNA, 253 nt
Filed under: uncultured bacterium
Lineage: Bacteria
Description: partial 16S ribosomal RNA
Rfam family: Bacterial small subunit ribosomal RNA
Source: RNAcentral
UACGUAGGGUGCGAGCGUUGUCCGGAAUUAUUGGGCGUAAAGGGCUCGUAGGCGGUUUGUCGCGUCGGGAGUGAAAACUCAGGGCUUAACCCUGAGCCUGCUUUCGAUACGGGCAGACUAGAGGUAUGCAGGGGAGAAUGGAAUUCCUGGUGUAGCGGUGAAAUGCGCAGAUAUCAGGAGGAACACCGAUGGCGAAGGCAGGUCUCUGGGCCACUACUGACGCUGAGAAGCGAAAGCAUGGGGAGCGAACAGG